RNAcentral lists this transfer RNA (51 nucleotides) under Mentha spicata (spearmint). Its description in RNAcentral is "partial tRNA-His". Lineage: Eukaryota; Viridiplantae; Streptophyta; Magnoliopsida; Lamiales; Lamiaceae. RNAcentral also lists the same sequence under 3 other names. The record is from RNAcentral.
AUGUAGCCAAGUGGAUCAAGGCAGUGGAUUGUGAAUCCACCAUGCGCGAAA